GUGGAUUAGAUACCCUGGUAGUCCACGCAGUAAACGAUGCAGACUAGGCGUGGGGGGACUUGACCCCCUCCGUGCCGGAGCUAACGCGGGAAGUCUGCCGCCUGGGGAGUACGGCCGCAAGGCUAAAACUCAAAGGAAUUGACGGGGGCCCGCACAAGCGGCGGAGCGUGCUCUUUAAUUCGUCGCAACGCGAAGAACCUUACCAGGGUUUGACAUGGACCUGCAGAGCCGUGAAAGCGGUUGGCCUUCGAGGGUGGUCCACAGGUGCUGCACGGCCGUCGUCAACU
RNAcentral lists this ribosomal RNA (287 nucleotides) under uncultured bacterium. RNAcentral describes it as "partial 16S ribosomal RNA". It matches the Rfam family "Bacterial small subunit ribosomal RNA", at positions 773 to 1060 of the family's 1533-position model. The record is from RNAcentral.